UAGGUAUUGUGCUAGAGUAACACAGUAACAGAAGGGAAAACUGAAUAUAUGCAUACAGAUUCCAAUAAGGGGGGAGGUAUGGUAGGGGUGGUGAGUGUUAUUAUUUCAUGAAUGAAGUAGAAAGCAAAGUCAUCUAAGAAUGAGAAUGGGGAAAGAAGUGUUAGAAACUUGAGAAGGUAUGAAAUAAUUUAGGACAUAACCCAGCAAAGUAGAGCUGGGGGCCAAAUCCUGUUUUUUUACAGCCUAUUAGCUAAGGAUAAUUUUUAUAAUUUUAAAUCGUUGAGAAAAAAAUCUAAAAAUGAAUACUAUAUUGUGACACAUAAAGAUUUACAUAAAAGUUCAAAUUCAAUUCAUUUACAUAUUGCCUAUGGCUACUUUCUGCUACACUGGCACAGUAGGUCAGUUGUAAAAAAGACUGCAUGACCUGCAAAGCCUAGAAUACUUAUUAUCUGGCUCUUUACAGAAAAAGUUUGUGGACCUCUGGUCUAGAAUAGGAAGGGGAAUGACUAGGAAAAUAUGAUAUUGGGCAGCUGUAAGGGCCUAAGAGUUAUGGACAUGAAUUUAAGGUAAGACCAGUCACAAUCUUCGACAAAGGAGGCAGGAAUAUGCAAUGGGAAAAAGAUAAUCUCUUCAACAAAUGGUGCUGGAAAACUGGACAGCUACAUGCAAAAGAAUGAAACUAGAUAAUUUUCUUACACUAUAUACAAAAAUAAACUCAAAAUGGGUUAAGGACUGAAAUAUGAGCCCUGAAACUAUAAAAGAAAGUCCUAGAAGAGAGCACAGGCAGUAAUUUCUCUGGCAUUGGGCAUAAUAUCCUUUUUCUAGAUAUGUCUCCUGAAGCAAGGGAAACAAAAACAAAAAUAAACUAUUGGGACUACAUCAAAAUAAAAAACUUCUGCACAGCAAAGGAAACCAUUAACAAAACUAAAUAGUAUGGGAGAAUAUAUUUGCCAAUGACAUAGCCAAUAAAGGGUUAAUAUCCAAAAUUAUAAAGAACUUCUAGAACAUCUGUAAAACAGUCCAAUUAAAAAUGGGCAAAGACAUGAACAGGCAUUUCUCAGAAGACAUACAGAUGACCAACAGACACAUGAAAAGAUGCUCAUUUCAUUCACUCAUCAAUGAAAUGCAAAUCAAAACCACAAUGAGAUAUCACCUCAUUGAAUACCUAAAAUAACUGAAGAAACAACAAACGUUUGCAAGGAUGUGGAAAAAAGGAACCCUUGUGCACUGCUGGUCCGAAUGCAAAUUGGUACAGCCACUGUGGAAAACAGUAUGCAGGUUCUUAAAAAAAUUCAAAAUAGAACUAUCCUAGGAGCCAGUAAUUGUAAUACUGGGUAUUUACCUAAAGAAUACAAAAACAAAUUUGAAGGGAUAUAUGCAGCCCUCUGUUUUUUGCAGCAUUAUUUACAAGAGCCAAACUAUGGAAACAGCCCAAGUGUCCCAUCAACUGAUGGAAUGGAUAAAAAUGCAGUAUGUAUGUAUACACACACAUACACAGAGGAAUAUUAUUCAGCAUUAAAAAAGAACAAAGUCUUUCCAUUUGUAACAACAUGGAUGGAUCUAGAGAAUAUAAAUGCUAAGUAAAAUAAUCCAAUCAGAGAAAGACAAAUACCAUAUGAUUUCACUCAUAUGUGGAAUUUGAGAAACAAAUGAACAAAGGGAAAAAAAAGAGACAAACCAAAAACAGACUUUUAACUAUAGAGAACAAACAGAUGGUUACCAGAGGGGAGGUGGGUGGGGAGAUGAGUGAAAUGGAUGAAGAGGAUUAAGAGCACACUUAUUUUGAUGAGCACUGAGUAAUAUAUGGAACUGUUGAAUCACUAUUGUACACCUGAAACUAAUAUAACAUUGUAUGUUAAUUACACUGGAAUUUUUUAAAAAUAAAAGGUAAAAAGAAAAAAAAUAGAGACCAAUCAGCAUGAUUACUUCACAGUUUAGGCAGAGUAGGCAAAGCGCUGCCUUUAACUAACAUUGUGGUUUUGUGAAGUGAGUGUGACAGAGAGGAGAAAUGGAGUUAAAAGUAUAUACAAGUGUCAUAAUGACUGACCCUGGGACCUAAACUGGUUAUGAAGGGAGGAGAGGAACUCAGGGAAGGUAGGGACAAUGAAAGGGGGUAGUCAAAGGAGUGCUGGAAUCAAGUUACUAGGAGAUGGCUAGAAGAUAGAAGGUGAUGGUCAGACAAUGAGAUACAUCAGCCUGACCUUAUGGAAGGGUUAGUUUUUGGAAAUAAAAUCAAAGGUAUGACCACAGGAAUGAAUGCAGGCAAUAGGAGAGCAUAAAAUAGGUGGAACGCUGUUAUUCAAGGAACGAAUAUGUCAGGCUGUUGACCAAUAUGUUAUUCUGUUAUUCGCUGUUAUUCAAGGAACCAAUAUGUUGAUCAGCUGUUGAAAGGAUCAUCCAUGUAUGUAAAUUAACCAUCAAUAAUUAAAUAAGGAGUAGUGUUGUGGGGAGUGAAAUGAGCCAAGACCUAAAGUUUUUGAGAAAUGAGAGUGAAUGACCCAUGGGCUUGUAGAUUUUGUAGAUGACAGCAAUGAAGGGAAAUAAGUAAUACAACCUGAUGGCAUGAGACUCAAAGCUGGGGAGUUUUAAGGGAAGACAAAGGGAGAAAUGUCGGGAAACAGUGAUAAAAGGAAGAGCAUCUACUUCCAACUCUUGACCGGUAAUAGGACUGUGAAAGAAAAAAAUCACCUUGAGAGGGCUGAAGUGAAAGCAUUGUCCUAAGAGAAGAUGCAGGGACAGAAAUGUCGGACUCUUCAGAAUACUCAACUUUAAAUUCCCAUUUUCAGUGAGAUGUCUCCUCCCAACUCCCAGCUGUUCUUGGGGGUUCCAACUAAUUCAGCUUCUCCAGAGGAUGAAGGAAUGAACAAAUGAAUGAGUGAGGAUCUGAGGUCUAACUUACUUUAUAGUCUUAAGUAAUCAUCAUGUUUUUAGCCCUCCACCCCUGCCACUUGCUAUUCAGAUAACUGAUGUCUCCAAUUCCUCACUCAGUCUUUUCUGGGGUUCUGUGGUAUACAUUUGCUUAUUAUUAUUGUCACCCCACCUCUAGGCCCUACUCCCCAUUAGGUUUCUGCUUCCUCUGUACUGCUCCAAUAGUUGUUGCUUGUCUUUUACUUUCCAGAUGCAAAGAUUUUGUUGAGGGCAGCCCCGGUGCGCAGUGGUUUAGCGCCACCUGCAGCCUGAGGUGUGAUCCUGGAGACCUGGGAUAGAGUCCCACGUCGGGUUCCCUGCGGGGAGCCUGCUUCUCCCUCUGCCUGUGUCUCUGCCUCUCUCUCUCUGUGUCUCUAUGAAUAAAUAAAAUCUUAAAAAAAAAAAAAAAGAUUUUGUUGACACUGUUUGAGUGCUAUUAUCUUUUCUCCCAUGUUUUUUGUCCUCAUUGAUUUAUGUCAUUUAGUAUUCCUUUACUGUCAUUUUUAUGGGGUUUCAGGAGGAUGCUGUAUUUUUAGUCCACCAUUUUUAAUAAGAUGUUGCCAACACAACUUUUGUUAAGGUGUCAGACAUGUCUGACUGGCUCACUCCUCCUAGGAUGUUUCUCAGUCCCACCCUCCAGGCUUUGGUAUACAGACAGAGCUGAAUCGCAAUGGUGGAAUCAACUUAGGCUGAUACUGGGAUUCUCACUUUGUUUUUGUUUCCCUUUAAUCGUCACUCUUUUCAAUUCCUGCCCUUCCCCUCCCCCCUUACCUGCUGAUACCGAGACUAUUUCUGAAAUCCUACUCUCCACAGGGUAUACCCAGCUGGUCUCUCUAGCUACCCUUCCUCAGAGCUUAGAACUGGCCCCCUUCACACACCCUGUGGUCUUUACUGGUCUUUAUGAGAACUGUUCACUUUAAUAUACUUUCUAUUCUCCAUUGGUUCGUAUAUACCACAGAGAAAUUAUUAUGAACUCAGACAUGUUGGAAAGUUUCUGUAGAACUUUCAAAGAAGAUUAAUUACUUUUUCAUAUGAUCAGCCCCAGCACCAAUAAAAUUCUCAUGUCUUUACCCAUUUUCAAAAUAAGUAAGAUGGGAACCACUGUAGCAGCUCCCCAAGUACAAGGUCAUCCAGUGUAUCCAAUUCAUAACAGGAGUCCAGCAAUUCAUAACAGAAUCCCAAAACAUUCCACCUGUUUGUCACAUGAUGAAAGCAAAGUUAAAUUCCUGUUAUCUAGGCUCACAGUAUAGAUGAUUUCUUUUUCUCCUCCCUUUACCCUCCAGGUGUCUCCUCUGGCAAACACAAGUAUCUCUACUAGGUCAACCAUACUCCCUUUCCCAAUCUAUUUCUCCUGUUCCAGGCAACUGGCAUGGUUUGACUAAGUCAACAUUGAAGUAUGUGAUCUUCCUAGAGAGCUAGGUUUUCUGUAUUAAUUAAAAAUUUGUAGGCUACUCUGGGUCUAGUAAGAGCAUGCUUAAAUUUAAUUCCCCUCUCUGAUUUUGGUGGCUGUGAUUUGCUGGUUAGAGGCACAGGUCUAGGAAAGAGUGUGAUAAAGGUGCUGGAAAGAAAGAACAAAGCUGUAGUCACCAGGCUACUCAAACCUUUGGAUAAAUCACUACUAAAAAAUCAGAUAAAGACCCAUUUUUCUCCAUUCUGGUCAGGCAUCUGGCAGUCCCAGUCUUCCAGAACAUACCAUGACCCAUGAAUAAAAGCAUCUUUAAGAAAACAGUUGUCACAAUGCCCAUAUGCUUGACACCAUGUGAGAAACAGCUGUCACUGGCCAGACAAAUAAGACAGUAGCAUAUAAUAGCUCAGAAUGCACUAAUGUUGGAAGGAAGAAAUGGCAGCUGCCAGAGGAGUCCAAGCUAUAACACAAACUAGUUUAUCUCUGCUUUCUGGUUCCAUGAGAACAGUUACUUGCAAACCUUCAAAUCUGGGUAAAAAGAUCAUAAUUUAAGUCCAAAUUAAUGAGUCUGUAGUGUUGGCAGUGAGUCAACAAGAGACUGCAUUUGAUUCACAAUGCCAUUUAAUAAAGAUGUCUUAAAAUCGAAGAAUUUUAGCAUUAGAAAUUGCUUUGGAGGUCUCCUUAUCCCACCUACCCAAUACCAAAAUUUUUCACUAUUUUGCUAAGAAAUGAUCAUCCCAUCUUUCACUUCCAGUGAAAGAAAAUUUAGAGACAAUUCAUUUAAUUGUGCUAAAUGGAUUUAUCUUGAUACCACUCUGAACCUAAGCUUUUUCUUCUGCAAAACUAUGAGCAAUACUAACUUCUUUGCAGGAGUUAGCAUAGUCCCUGGUUCAUAGUAGAUGCUUCCCUCCAAUUGACCCAGGAUACGUAUGCUUCUCUGCAAUCUCCACCUACUGGAAAUGCUUGCCUUCUGGUGCCAGGAAGAACACUUUCCAUGACAGCUCUGAAGACAAUAAUCAUAUUAUCACUGCCCUUUUCUAGAUACUCCACAAACUGUAUACAUGUCCCUGUCUUACAAAUGACAUCUAUACACGGAGUCCUUGAUA
RNAcentral lists this long non-coding RNA (5418 nucleotides) under Canis lupus familiaris (dog). RNAcentral describes it as "lncRNA (ENSCAFG00000055158.1, ENSCAFG00845012725.1)". Lineage: Eukaryota; Metazoa; Chordata; Mammalia; Carnivora; Canidae. The record is from RNAcentral.